Molecule: long non-coding RNA, 662 nt
Filed under: Vulpes vulpes (red fox)
Lineage: Eukaryota; Metazoa; Chordata; Mammalia; Carnivora; Canidae
Description: lncRNA (ENSVVUG00000012124.1)
Source: RNAcentral
CAACAAAAUGCCUUGGUUCUCCAGAAGGUACAUUCCUUGAGAAUCAUAGAUAGAGAAGGUCUUCUAUGUUAUUAUUUUAGCUGAAAGUAAGCCCAGAGCCUUUAAGUUGAAAGUGGCAGAGACAAAAUUUGGAAUCACAUGCAGAUUUAUAUAUUGAUCUAGAGGAAACUGCAGUUUUCUCAAGAGAUACUGGUCAUAGAAUCCUAGCAACCAUAAAGUACUUAAAAUUCUUUUACAGCUACUUUAUGGUAGCCUAAAUUGACUUAAUAGAGCACUAUCAAAUCAAUUCAUUCUCUUAACUCUUAGGACUGCAUUAUCUUGAUUUGAAUUGUUGGUAAACCAGGCCAUCCAGUAAUUAGAGGGAUGCAUGGUGUAUGAUAUAUUAUCCAUAAGACCUGCCACCUGAAGAAAGGAGACAGUUGUAUGAAAGAAAUUUUGAAUGGAGCUCUCCAUAAAUUGGACACCACUGAAUGAAUAUUAAGUUCUAUUCCGGUGCAAGAAAUUGUAUAUAAGGACAGUGGCCCAACUGAAAAAGAUGCACAGCAUUCAAAUUAUUAGCUCAAUAAGACAGAUAUUCAUAGAGAAAAUUUUAGGGUCAAGCUUCAAAAUGGUUUCAUCACCACAAGGUGAUGGAUUUUCUUCAGUAGAUGUUCACUGCCAAG